Molecule: ribosomal RNA, 450 nt
Filed under: uncultured bacterium
Lineage: Bacteria
Description: partial 16S ribosomal RNA
Rfam family: Bacterial small subunit ribosomal RNA
Source: RNAcentral
GUGGGGAAUAUUGGACAAUGGGCGAAAGCCUGAUCCAGCCAUGCCGCGUGUGUGAAGAAGGUCUUCGGAUUGUAAAGCACUUUAAGUUGGGAGGAAGGGCAGUAAGUUAAUACCUUGCUGUUUUGACGUUACCGACAGAAUAAGCACCGGCUAACUUCGUGCCAGCAGCCGCGGUAAUACGAAGGGUGCAAGCGUUAAUCGGAAUUACUGGGCGUAAAGCGCGCGUAGGUGGUUUUGUAAGUUGGAGGUGAAAUCCCCGGGCUCAACCUGGGAACUGCCUCCAAAACUGCAUGACUAGAGUACGGUAGAGGGUAGUGGAAUUACCUGUGUAGCGGUGAAAUGCGUAGAUAUAGGAAGGAACACCAGUGGCGAAGGCGACUACCUGGACCAGCACUGACACUGAGGCACGAAAGCGUGGGGAGCAAACAGGAUUAGAAACCCGUGUAGUCC